This 425-nucleotide ribosomal RNA is filed under the name uncultured bacterium. RNAcentral describes it as "partial 16S ribosomal RNA". It matches the Rfam family "Bacterial small subunit ribosomal RNA", at positions 354 to 796 of the family's 1533-position model. The record is from RNAcentral.
GUGGGGAAUCUUAGACAAUGGGCGCAAGCCUGAUCUAGCCAUGCCGCGUGAGCGAUGAAGGCCUUAGGGUUGUAAAGCUCUUUCGCUGGGGAAGAUAAUGACUGUACCCAGUAAAGAAGCCCCGGCUAACUCCGUGCCAGCAGCCGCGGUAAUACGGAGGGGGCUAGCGUUGUUCGGAAUUACUGGGCGUAAAGCGCGCGUAGGCGGAUUGGAAAGUUGGGGGUGAAAUCGCGGGGCUCAACCUCGGAACUGCCUUCAAAACUCCCAGUCUUGAGUUCGAGAGAGGGGAGUGGAAUUCCGAGUGUAGAGGUGAAAUUCGUAGAUAUUCGGAGGAACACCAGUGGCGAAGGCGGCUCACUGGCUCGAUACUGACGCUGAGGUGCGAAAGCGUGGGGAGCAAACAGGAUUAGAAACCCGUGUAGUCC